CAGUAGCCGCGGGAAUACGAAGGGGGCUAGCGUUGCUCGGAAUUACUGGGCGUAAAGGGAGCGUAGGCGGACUGUUUAGUCAGAGGUGAAAGCCCAGGGCUCAACCUUGGAAUUGCCUUUGAUACUGGCAGUCUUGAGUACGGAAGAGGUAUGUGGAACUCCGAGUGUAGAGGUGGAAUUCGUAGAUAUUCGGAAGAACACCAGUGGCGAAGGCGACAUACUGGUCCGUUACUGACGCUGAGGCUCGAAAGCGUGGGGAGCAAACAGGAUUAGAUACCCCUGUAGUCCCUGUCUCUUAUAC
RNAcentral lists this ribosomal RNA (301 nucleotides) under uncultured bacterium. RNAcentral's name for it is "partial 16S ribosomal RNA". It matches the Rfam family "Bacterial small subunit ribosomal RNA", at positions 509 to 807 of the family's 1533-position model. The record is from RNAcentral.